UCAUUUAUUCAGUAGCAGUUUUAUUUCCUUGGUGUUUAAGUUCUGCAACUCUUUGUAAAUUCUGGGUAUGAGUUCUUUGCCUGAAAUGUGUCUGAUAAAGAUUUCUCCCAUUCUGUGGGCUCUCCUGUUUGUUUCCUUUAUCUUACAGAAAACAGAAUAAAACUAAACAAAAAGCCCCAAACACAACAAACAAACAUAAUCUUGAACACUAAAAGAACUGCUAGAGGUCUCAUCAUUCCCAAUUUCAAGUUGUACUACAGACCUACAGUAAUGAAAAACCAAAAGAAAGAAAGAAAGAAAGAAAGAAAGAAAGAAAGAAAGAAAGGAAGGAAGGAAGGAAGGAAGGAAGGAAGGAAGGAAGGAAGGAAGGAAAGAAGGAUGAGGAAACAAAAACUCACAUGGUAUUGGCAUAAACAUAGAGAAAUCCAAUCAAUGGAAUCUAAUUGAAGACCCAGACAUAUAUCCUCACACCUAACUAUGGGCAUGUGAUUUUGAUUUAAAUGAAAAUUUAAAAAGCCAGAAAUACACUUUGAAAAAAGACAGCAUCUUCAACAAAUGAUGCUGGUCAAAGUGGAUGUCUCCUUUGAUCCGUAUUUAUUACCCUGCACAAAACUCAAGUCCAAGUGGAUCGAAGACUUCAACAUAAAACCAGAUAUACUGAAAAUAAUAGAAGAGAAAGUGGGGAAUAGCCUUAAACACAUUAGUACAGGAGAAGACGUU
This 720-nucleotide long non-coding RNA is filed under the name Mus musculus (house mouse). Its description in RNAcentral is "long non-coding RNA chr4:7018654-7019374". The record is from RNAcentral. Lineage: Eukaryota; Metazoa; Chordata; Mammalia; Rodentia; Muridae.